Oncorhynchus kisutch (coho salmon) is the source of this 983-nucleotide long non-coding RNA. RefSeq lists it as uncharacterized. The record is from RefSeq and is a predicted model, not a curated record. The transcript has 17 exons. NCBI's taxonomy places the organism in Eukaryota, Metazoa, Chordata, Actinopteri, Salmoniformes, Salmonidae.
CACAAGGCGCAGCCAUCUUGCCUCAACUCUUCUGUGUUCCAAGGAAGGAGGAAGUAGUCCGCGCUCGUGACGCACGGACGUAAAGAGCAUAAAAGGCGCAGGAACCUUCCAGUCCUUCCAUUUUCUUCUCCCAUCCAACCGAGGAUGCCGACGACUCGAAUGUGCUGCACUGAAAUGCAGGACAGAUGCCUGGAAGUCUAGAAGAAUGACCCGUCGCAAUUGUAAAUGAGAACUUGUUCUCAACUUGCCUACCUGGUUAAAUAAAGGUCUGCAUUACCUGUGACCUGACUUCCAGGCAUCUGAACAGAAUCUCCACUUGGAGUUCCAUUCUGGAAUAGGAAUGUGUGCUGAAUUCCAGACCAAGACUGAUGCGCGUUGUGAAAAUCCAGACGUGGGGAUGAAGUUUCCUGACGGGAUUAACACGACCUUCACUGGGUUUGGGUGUUGUGGUCAGUUGCAUUGCAGUGUGGACUCCAACAUACUGGUUCUUCUGUAUAUGGCUGAACAGGGAGCCGUGAUGCCAACUAGACGGGUCCUGAUGGUGGUACCAGACAAGUCACUAGAAGAUGCCGGAUACUGAACUACCUCAAGGUCCUGACUGUUGUACCAGACUGGCCACUAGCAGGAAGCUCUUUGCUGUGACAGUGAAUGAAGUUGAUGUCCUUGUGGGUCUGCAGUCUUCAGGAAGGGAUCUGUUCCUUCCAUGUCCUGACUGUUCCAGCUUGGCCACUGGAGGACUGUUGCUGCACGACCUCAAGGUUUCUGCCCCUCUGGUUGAGGUCCUGGUGUCUGCAGGGUUUGGAAAGAUCUGGUUGGCUGCUGAAGUGUUGCUGUGCUGGUGGAGUGGGAAGCUCUCCUGUUUUACACCUGCAAGCCCUCUUUCACUCCUGAUUGGUCAGCAAGGAAGUGGGGGAAACCAGGCCAAGUCAAUUCAACCCUGUGACUGUGUUUUGAUGUAUAAAUAAAUCUACAUAUUAAUGCUU